AUUAUUUCUUAAUUACGCUUUUAACAGACAGUAUGGUUCAAUUUUGUCAAAAGCAUUGCUGAUGAAUUUUUCACUUGCAAUUGAAUAAAUCGACCUCAUUGAAUACCUAUUCAUAUGACCGCUAAUUUAACCUCUUAGAUAGAGAUUAGUUAAUAGCUAUAAGAAGAUGUGGUAUGAGUGCCAAUGAAACAACUCUCCAUCCAAGUCACAAUUUAUAAAAGUAAACCAUUAAAGGUCAAAGUAUAAAUAAAUAUUACUUUAUGCAUGUAUAAGGCAUGUUUCAGGAAAAAGAAUGUUAACAUUGAAAGUGAAAAAAUGGUGAACCAUUUUGUUGACUGAUUCUAUCCACAAAAACUCAAUCUUAUACCGGUAAAAAUGAUGAUAAACUUAUUUUUAUGUCCCACCUAUGAUAGUAGAGGGGCAUUAUGUUUUCUGGUCUGUCUGUCCCGCUUCAGUUUAAAGUUUUUGGUCAAGGUAGUUUUUGAUGAAGUUGAAGUCCAAUCAACUUGAAACUUAGUACACAUGUUUCCUAUGAUAUGAUCUUUCUAAUUUUUAAUGCCAAGUUAGAGUUUUUAUGUUUAUAUCAGGUUAUGUGACCAUAGCAGUCUUUAGAGUAUCUUCAGAGUUAACUAUAUGGCGUCUAGACUAAUAGACAUAUCAUAGUUGUUAAUUGUUUAUUUCAGACUACUUGUUAUUUUGAUAUACGUUUUAGUGUGUCAUAAAUCAAAUAUGAGAAUUUGAGUAAAAUCAGUGAACUAAACAGCUAAUGCCCCUUUAAUUUCGCAUGCAUGAAAAAUAUUGUUAUAUGUUUUUUUACUUUUAUUAAAAUGAGUGUCUUUGUGUAUCAUGUGUAUUGCAUUUUUAAUUACAGCAGAUGACAUUUUGUUUAUGAAAUGUUAUUGAAUUGCUAAAAAACAACUGCCAUUUCUUAGAGAAAACAGUUUCUUUGUAUUUGAUCUGUAUUAUGUACUUUUACUUUAUAUUAUCUUAAAUUUUCAUUUGAACCAGAAAGUCUUGAUGAUCAAAUUACAUCUUCAGCAUAAAUAGUCUAACAAUACAAUGUUUCAUAUUCAGAUUGGAAGACAUGUAUAUGAUAUUUGCCUCUUAUUUUAGGCAUCCAUCAAUCAGUCUUAAUAUAAGGCCACCUGUCCUUAAUAGGGCCAAAAUGUGAACUCACUAUUUAAUUUAUCAUUCUUUCAUAUUUUGUCUGACGACUUUUUCUUUAUCAUUCUUUGUAGGUCACAGGUCAAUUUCCAAGCUUGAUAAUGGUCUUGUCUAUCCUUUGUCCAGGAAAAUUAUAUCCAGUCAUUCCAUACUAUUAGAUAAUUUGUUGAUAGUUUAUGAAUGUCUUAGGGUUAGACGAGAGAUGUUAUUCCAAGCGCUAUUUUAUGGUGCUUUAUUACAAGAUACUUUUCAUCAAUGGAUUUUAUCAGAGCAUCAACAGGUGUUGACAGGAAGUAGUAUUUGAGGAACAGGAAGUACUGAACUUGUUGAUCACCUCUAUAAAGGAAGGGGUAUAUUGUUUUACCUCUGUCUAUAACACAUUACUGUUUUCUCAUCAAAUACAGCUUCUUGGUAUGGAACCAUACUUCAUCUGGUUAUGCCAUACUUUAUCACCUGUUUACACUUCCCACAAUAUUCUCCUUCUUGUAUGCUAAAAAAAUUAUGUCUUAAUAUGGGCAUAAUAAAAGUGAGCGAUGGCUCAAACUUGUUUAUUUUAGACAUGGAGUUGUCCUGAUUUUUUGAUCUUAUGGUUUUGAUGGCACUCCUGGCAUCUUCUAUCUAUCUGUUUAUCCACUAAACAAAAAUGUGUCACUUAGAAUUUAAAAUCAUGUGAUUAGCUAAACAUAUCCUAAGCUAUGGAAAUUAAAUCAAUGAUCUGAUUUAAUUUUCAUUUUGAGGUAAAAACAAUGAAAUAACCCAUAGUCAUUUGGAUCCAAAAACAGUUUUAUUAUAUACUGCUUGUCUGUCAAGUAUGUGGAACUCAGGAGCCAGAACUAAGACUUGGUGUUAUUGAAUAAUGUUUUGGAAAAGGUUAUAUCCAUGUCCUGUAAUUGAUUGAUCAUAUAUACUCAGAUAUCUAAUUUACAAAUAUAUUGUUUUGCCUAAUUUAAUACCAUGCUUAAUGUUUACUUAAAGUAAUCUUUAACUUCUCAGUGCAUACCAUCACUAUGAUUCAAAAAAUUGGAAAAUGAUGAAUUUUGUUGAGUAAGGUUAUUGAAUGUUCAUCAUUCUGAUUACAUUCCAGUAUUUCUGAUUUUGUUUUCAAUUACUUAGUAUAGCUUAUUGGAAAGUUUUUACUUAAUUUUUAAUUGGUCUUAUUUGUUAACUGACUUGAUUAAAGUAUCAGUAAGCCAAUCCUAUCCAGAAACUUUCAUAUAAAAGUAAUGGUUUCAUGGGACAGUCACUUUUAACUGCAUUCUGUUUAAUGUUUAUAGUGUUUGUAUUGUGCCAGAAGGAGGAAUGACAAACUAUUCUUAUUUCACAUUGUUUAUGGUCUUUAAGUCAGAAGGAGAAAUGACAAACUAUAUUUAUUUCACAUUGUUUUCAUUCUAUUGUGUAACCAAUGUAAAAAAUAAUGUUUAUUUAGAUAUUGUUUCCAAAGAGGAAAAUAUGCAUUUAAGGAGUAAUAUUGUAUUUUAAACCUGUUGUAUUUAUUUUUUUACUUUUAUCAAAUUCUAACAACUAAUUUAAAAAUAAUUACAAUGUUGCUUACUUUAAAGAUACACAUAGAAAUGAGAAUAAGAAGAAAAUAAACUAUAGAGUUUACAAUGUGUGACAAUUUGAAAUUAAAAAAAAAUUAAAUAUUUACUAAAUAUUUUUUAUGGCAUAUUUUUAAUGUAUACCAGUUACUGUCAGAAAUUCUAAAUUUCUUAAAUUUUUAACAGGAUUACACAAAUUUAAGUAAGCACUAUAGGAAAGGAUGUAAAAUUCCCUGUAAACAGUAGAAAAAGGUUAAUGUUAAGGUAAAAAAUUUUUCCUUGAAAUUUAUCAAAAUUGUGAGUAGACAUCAAUGCAAUUGCCAAAUCAUUCUAGUGUCAUUAUGAUUGAAAUGACGUGUUGUGCAGUUCUCAUGUUUGAAGUAUACUAUAGUAUAUCAUAGUUUUGAAGUGCAUAUUAACUUAUGUAUGCAUGUAUCUAAAUAUAAGUUUGCUGUUUAAAGGAUAAUAUAUUGUUAUGGUGAUAUAUCUUUGAUAAUUAUUUGUAGGGUUGUUACAAAUAUUGUUUUCACAUUUUUUUUAUGAAAACUAUUUAAUUACCUAUUGCCAUAUCUGUCAUACUGAUGUACAUGUAUCAUGUGCUUAUAUAUUUUUUGUAGCUAAUAAAUACAAGAGAACUUAAUA
This 3344-nucleotide long non-coding RNA is filed under the name Mytilus galloprovincialis (Mediterranean mussel). The record is from RNAcentral. Lineage: Eukaryota; Metazoa; Mollusca; Bivalvia; Mytilida; Mytilidae.